UGAUUUCAUUCCUGAAGAAGAAAGUCCAGUUUGUCGAUCUGGUGCUCAAGCAUCUUGAGACGUCCGCCAUGAUGGACCUUCUGUUGCGGUUGGUCAGCUGCGUGGAGCCAGCCCAGCUACGCCAGGAAGUGCUACAUUGGCUGAAUGAUGCAAAGCUUGUUCAGAGGCUGGUGGAGCUGAUCCACCCUCGCCAGGAUGAAGAUAGACAAUCCAAUGCUUCUCAAACCUUGUGUGAUAUCAUCAGGCUGAGCAGAGAUCAGAGCAACCAGCUCCAGGAGGUGGCUGACCUUGACCCUCUCCUUGCAUCCCUGGAGUCGCAGGAGUGUGUGGAGCAGCUUUUGAAGAACAUGUUUGAUGAGGAAUUGAUGGAGAACUGCCUUGUGAAUGGGACACAGGUUUUGCUGACAUUGCUUGAGCCAAGAAGAGCUGGCUUGGAAGGGCUUUUGGACUCCUUCUCUCAGGGAUUUGAAAAGUUUCACACUGUCAGUAGCAGCGUCUUGCGGGGCAUAGAGCCACGCCUGAAGGACUUCCACCAACUGCUGCUUCACCCCCCCAAGGUAGCUUCUAUCCUGACGACCAUUGGGAUCCUGGAAGAGCCUCUAGGGAACGCCCGUCUUCAUGGAGCCCGCCUGAUUGCUGCCCUUCUUCACACCAACACACCCAGUAUUAAUCAGGAGCUGUGCCGGCUUAACACCAUGGACUUGCUACUGGACCUGUUUUUUAAAUACACUUGGAAUAACUUCUUGCAUUUCCAAGUAGAACUGUGUAUCACAGCUGUCCUGAUGCACUCUGUGCCUGGAAGCAAGCAGGUCAUAGAAAAUGAGGAGGAGAUGAAGGGAAACGUGUCCUCAGAAAAUGCUGAAGCACCAGAGAACUUCAUGGUGACUCAUCUCUUCCAAAAGUGCUGCUUGGUGCAAAGGAUUCUAGAUGCCUGGGACACCAAUGACAAAAUACAGGCAGAAGGAGGAAUGAGGCGUGGCAACAUGGGCCACCUUACCCGAAUUGCCAACACAGUUGUGCAAAAUAUGGAGAAAGGCCCCUUGCAGAACCAAAUCAGGGAGUUCAUCAGAGGGCUUCCUGAAGAUUGCAAGGGACGUUGGGAGAGCUUUGUGGAGGAAACUUUGGUGGAAGCCAACCGAAGAAAUACUGUGGAUUUGGUAACUGCCCAUCACCUGCACUCCUCCAGUGAGGAUGAGGACACAGAGGCUACCUUUCCCAGUGAAGUCUCUCUCCAGCAGGCAUUUUCAGAAUAUCAGGUUCAGCAGAUGACAGCCAUUUUCAUGGAUCAGUUUGGCUUUAAUGAUGAAGAGUUUGCUGAUCAGGAUGACAACAUCAAUGCCCCUUUUGACAGGAUUGCAGAGAUUAACUUCAGCAUUGAUGUAGAUGAUGACAGUCCCAAUGCGUCCCUCUUCGAAGCCUGCUGCAGCGAACGCAUUCAACAAUUUGAUGAUAAUGAAGAAGAGGAGGAUAUUUGGGAGGAGAAUGAUACAAACUAUGCAGUCCAAGCCAAAUCAAGGUCACGGUUUGGAGUACUUCACUCUGUGGAAGUUUCAGCCAAAGGUGGCUUAGAAAAUGGGGAGCAUGAUGGCUGCAUGGACUCUGGGGAAGAGGAGGCAGAGAAGGAGGCAGCUGUCCAUUCUGAGGACCCCUGGAAGGAAGUAAACCAGGCCAUGGAUCCCCCUCCUGAAGGGUCUGGAUGGAGGACAGCACUUGAGCCCGUGAAGUCCAAGCCUCCAGCCUCUUGGGUGGCCACAGACAUAGGGUCCAGUGUGUGGGAUUCGGUAACUCCCGGCAUGAAAGCUUCUGAAGAGAGAGGCUGGGCCAAGUUCACUGACUUCCAGCCUUUCUGUUGCUCUGAAACAGCUCCCAGGUGCAGUUCCCCCGUGGACAACGAGAACAGCGGUUCCGAAGGAAAUCCCAAGCAGAGCCAAGACGAGAACUUGAGUGCUGCCUCCCCUUGCGUCUGGAACGUCUGUGUGGCACGGAAGGCACCCUUGGUGGCCUCAGACAGCAGCUCCUCUGGUGGCUCAGACAGCGAGGAAGAGGAAGAGAUGGCCAAUGUGGUCACAGAAACCAUCAGCACAGGUUCAGGCCAGGAAACCGUCAAGCUGACUGUGGAUGCUAAGAACGAAAAGGCCCUCUUUAUCAGAAUAAUUAGGCCUGCAGUUGGAGGCAGUAACGACUCUGUGACUGUUGACAAGCUGGUGAAUACUCUGAAGAGCGAACCUGCCCAGGCAUUUGAUGUUUGUCCAGGCUCUGCUGCUGCAGCCAUCACACCGGAAGCCAAGAGGGACAGCACUGAUGAGAUGACACCUGGAGUCCUGUGCAUGAUUCUGGGCACCCCAUUCCCAGAAGGAUAGUGACCAGAUAGAAAGAGUUCAAAGGAAGGCAAUGAAGAUGAUCCAGGGACUUGAGGACAUGACAUACAAGGAGAGGCUGAAGGAACUUGGGAAGUUCGGUCUGGAGGAAAGAAGACGGAGGGGAGACGUGAUAGCCAUAUCCAGGAAAGAGGAGCCCCACCCAGGAGCAGAGGCCACCCUGAAAGGCCCCGCUUGACAGUGGGGAUGACCUGGAAAGUGCCUGACUGAGGCUGGGCUGCCCACUUGUCCUCUUUGACAGUUUCAUUUCAUCAUAAUAAAUGCUGCCUUCGGAGAGAACAGUCAGUCAGAAAGCACGGUCCCUCUUCAGCUUGGCUUGGAAAGGUCCGUACGUGUCACGAGCGCAGCAUUAGCUCAUCUUCAUCCUCCAGCCUUGACUCACAACCUGUGCUCUUUCUUGGUUUUGCUCUUGUGGGCAGGAGCGAGGUACAGGCCUCUGAUCUCCCACUGUUGCAUCCAGGAUUCUCUGCUCUCCAGGAAGGCACUGGACUGGCCCACUGACACUGGAACUUGAGUUGCAUACAAAGCUGGCACUGAAACAUCCCUGCCAGCUUUUUAUAGAGCAAUAAUGCCUUAUCAGGAACAUGGCUGCUGAAAUGAGAAAGUGGGGGAGCAACAGGCAGCUGGUGGCCUGAAGGACAGUUUCUUGCCACUCUUGAGAUGUUUCAGGAAGGAAGGUACUUCAGGUGAGGGACUUAAGUCAGCCAACAUCAUCCCUGCGAACAAAGGUGUCCCUGACAGACAGUGUGGUGGUGACCCACUGCCUUGGAAGGAACUCAGUCCUGGAGCAUUUCUGGGAGGGGAUGGCUUCUGGAGACUUGCCUUUCAUGUAGAGUUUGAUUCUUCCUUUGGUUUGUUUAAUUUUGUAAAAAUUUUAAUAGAAGCAGGAACUGUAACACUUUGCACUUUGGAUCUCAUGCCAACCUUGAAAGUUGGAAGAGACAUUUGAGGAAGUCAUGCUGAUAUGGCCUGGCAAAACUAGAGGAGAGGGAGCCAUUCCCUAGAGAAGAUGUUGACCCCAGGGCAGCUGGAAAUUACUGUGCCAGGCAGGGGCCAGUCUUCUCCUUGAGCGCAAGGAGAGAGGCUCUCUAAUGGUAGAGAGGCAGAGCUUCUGGAGAAUUUAGCCCAUGACUUUGGCCAAGAGCUGUUGGAUGAAAUUAGCUCAUUGGUACCUCUUCUGGUGUUGCAUGGCUCCUUGUGGCCACAUGAUCCUUGCCAAACCUCAGUGGAACUUGUUACUCCUCAGUGAUGGAGCUGAGAUGCAAAAUCGUUUACUCUGGAAUCUAAACUUGAAGCUUUUCUGGGAUGGGUGAAGAAAGCUAGCUUAAAGUUGUAGUUUGUUCCCAACAUAACAAUGCUUCUGUUUGUUUUUAGAAAAACUUGGAAUGUCUGUUGUCCCAUAUUUUUUGCAAAUUAAAUGGUUGGUUGGAGACCUUUAAGGAACAAGGCCAGCCCACUUUUCCCCC
Non-coding RNA from Python bivittatus (Burmese python), 3844 nucleotides. Lineage: Eukaryota; Metazoa; Chordata; Lepidosauria; Squamata; Pythonidae. The record is from RefSeq and is a predicted model, not a curated record.